UCCCUGUCAUGCUCUUGAUAUUCCUAUUUUUGCUGCUAUUUUUAUAUGCAUAUCUCUAAACACAAUAAAGCUUUGCGUAACAGAAUAAUACAUUCGGAAUUUGGAGGUAUGACGUCAGUGUCAGCUGCAUAAAUGGUAUAUUCUGAGUUAUCACGAAUUUCAGGUUCUAUAUCUGCAAACGGUAAUGGAUCUUCUGCUAUUUCUUCAGUUUCGAUUGUAGGCUCAUGGUCGCUAGUCUCAGUUUGACGCGUACUAGGUGUAUUAAGCAUAACCAGAUUAUCACGAUCAAUUUUGAGAUAACCAGAUUUAAAAUCUAUGAUACAAUCAAAACGCUCAAGAAAAUCCUUUCCUAAAAUAGCCAUAUAAUGAAGCUUUGGUAAAACACAGUUUUUACCAUAUAACUAGCGUUGCCUAAAUAGAAUUCCAAAUUGACAUCUCCUAAAAAACCUAACUAUUUCGCCACUUGCGGUUUGCGCUGUUUUUCAUUGACUGGAUGUUCCUGAUAUCAAUUUCAAAUGUCGUCGAAUUUUAGCCCAAAAAGCUUGAUUAAUUACUGUAAUAGCAGAACCCGUAUCAAUAAGAAUAUUAGCAUCAAAGCUUUCGAUUUUCCCAGUUACAGUUAGUUUUCCGAAGUUCUGGGUAGGCACAUAUAUUGUUUUGAGCAGGGCGUUUUCGUGCGAAGAGAAAACAAGGUUUAUUAUGAUAUGGACUAGAUGUAUGUGCGCUUUCUUGCUGUAUAGCGUUCAAAGGUGGUGGUGGGAGAGGAGGUGGUGGCAAUGCUGGAAAACGUGUAUACCUCCCUACAUUGGUAUUUGAUCUCGGGUUAGUUUCAGGAUUAAAAUUAUUUCUUACGGUUUGCCCCGUUGUAUAGUAGUGACUACGCUGUGGUUGAAACAAUGAACUCCUAGGUGGAUUAAAAUUUGUACGGCCUUGUGAGUGACUUGAACGGUUUAAAUUUACAAAACAAGGAUUUGCAAUAUGCCCUACUCUAUUGCAACGAUUACAAAUUGGUCGACCAUUGCUGUUCCGUCGAUUUCUUGCAUAUAAUAAGAGUUUGCAACUGGUUUUAACGGUCCAACUCUCAGUCUUACAAUCGGCUGUGUGGUCUGAAUUUGAUUUUGUAACCUCGCAAAUUCUUUGCAAGUAACGUAAUUCGGCGACUGAUCAGCAUGGCGCCGGAGGAACUGUUGGUGUGGUGUUACAAAUACUUGCCUUAAAGCCUCUUGUAUCGCUUCGAAAUCUGCGCGAACUUCAUCAGUUUGCCGCUGACAAACGCGUUGGGCGCUACCACCAAGAAACAAUACAAACCCAUUUAACUGUUGCUCAGGGGUCCACCCAUUAAACGUAGCAUAUCUGUUAAAUUUUUGUAACCACUCAUCGUAAUCCUCAGUUGGGGAACCACGAAAAACUGAGGGUGGAAGGCCACUAGCCCUAGGAGGCGCCCCUGCAAUUUGAUUUUGUUGUUCAUGUAGUCUGUCAGUCAUUUCUUGUAGUAAUUCAAAAAUACCCUGUGGUAGGGCUUGGGCUUCCUCUUCCAGUAUAGGGUCUCUGAGUAAGCCAAUGAAGAGAGAGAUGUAUCGGAGUCUGAAAGAUCAGAAGGCUCGUUCCCACACCGAGAUGUAGCUACAAUUUCGUGUACACCAACGCGAAGGGUCCCACCCUAGAGAACCUAUAUUAUGAGAACGCGUUCGCCUAGCGAUUGGUUCGUUGUUUUCAGAACUAGACUCUGCUACGCUCAUUAACCUACUCAACUCUCUAUUAAGCGCAAAACAUAUAAUUAUAUCUAAACAUUCUUAAUGAUAAGUAACUAGAUAUAGAAUAACGUUAAUAUGUAAGAAAUGAUAUAAAGUAUGUAAAUUGAUCGAUUUAGUCAACAUGUCAACUUACGACCAGUUUAGCACGGUCAACAAUUCAUCGUCAGAUUCUGUUUCGUAGCCAGCUGGAAUACAACGGUAUUUUGGCUCACAGUAGCGGGUCUUGGCGGCUGCGAGUCGCAAUUUUUGCACGUAUUGGUCGAAUUCCAAAGCUAUCGAGCUCUCGGUUUGGGUCGCCGCGUCUUUCGUUGUCGUUGCUGGCGUUUGAGUCGUUGUUACUGGCGUCGUUUCAGUAGACGUUGGUACGAACACUACAGGAAUAUACUGGACGUGUACGGUUCCUGCGGGUUGUUCAUAAGGCCGUUCCUCCACCAAAUUUUUAAAUGACUUUUUUUUUCUAUGUACGCGAGGUAGGAGAUCUUUACAAUGUUUGACUAAUGUUUUUAAUGUUCUCUUCUUUCUUUUUGAUCUUCGUCGUUUUGUGUUCUUGUCUUUAUCGUUGGUUGUGUAUGUUGAGCUUCUCUAACGUUUCACAUGAUUUUUAUUCCGCUAGUCCACUGAAGGUUUGGGUGUUGUGCACGCCCUUUUAUAGUAAAGGUUGAGGGAAACUUGCACACAUCGAUUUAGUCAAUAUGCCAACUUACGACCAGUUUAGCACGGCCAACAAUUCAUCGUCAGAUUUUUCUUCGUAGCCAGCUGGAAUACAACGGUAUUUUGGCUCACAGUAGCGGGUCUUGGCGGCUGCGAGUCGCAAUUUUUGCACGUAUUGGUCGAAUUCCAAAGCUAUCGAGCUCUCGGUUUGGGUUGCCGCGUCCUUCGUUGUCGUUGUAGGCGUUUGGGUCGUUGUUACUGGCGUCGUUUCAGUAGACGUUGGUACGAACACUACAGGAAUAUACUGGACGUACCGUUCCUUCGGGUUGUUCAUAAGGCCGUUCCUCCACCAAAUUUUUAAAUGACUUUUAUUUUCUAUGUACGCGAGGUAGGAGAUCUUUACAAUGUUUGCCUUUUUUUUUAAUGUUCCCUUCUUUCUUUUUGAUCUUCGUCGUUUUGUGUUCUUGUCUUUAUCGUUAGUUGUGUAUGUUGAGCUUCUCUAACGUUUCACAUGAUUUUUACUCCGCUAGUCUACUGAAGGUUCGGGUGUUGUGCACGCCCUUUUAUAGUAAAGGUUGAGGGACACUCGCACACGUCAUCAACCAGAGUGGGCUGAUCCUCAUCCAACCAAUCAGCGUUGUAAGUUAGAAAUUUGGGUUGGCGUUAGAAUUUCGUUUCAGCUCUCAUAACUUGUUUGUGUAAGGCGCUGACGCACUAGUCGAGUUGGUCAUCAUCUCAAAAAUGUGAUAUUAGAAUAUAUCUCAUGCAGCGUGUCUCACUGAGACGUACUGAUAGAAAACGCGGAGCUUCCCAAUAUGCACUCGUCGCCUGCCUCGUCUUGUACUAUGCAUAAGUUGGGUUCGUUAUUUCCGUUUUCUUGGUGACACUCAAAGUUAAAGAAUAAGAGUUGAUUGUACCCGCUUUGAGUCGAGUUUUCUUCAUCGUUCGUCUCUGUAUUCGGAGGAGGUUCGCUUCUUCGUUAAUGUCGCUGCUGUUUUUGUCUCUUACGGGUUGCAUAUAACAUUGAUGAUUCUCAGUUUGCACAUAGACAUCGCAUGUAGGGCAACGUGGGGGUUUUGAGGGUGGUUGAGACUAAGGUUCGGAAGGGGGCCGGAGUUGGUGCUGGAAAAGUGGUUGGGAAAGUUCUUGGGGUUUUGAGGGUGGUUGGAACUAAGGUUUGGAAAGGGGUUGGAAUUGGUGGGGGUUUGAGGGUGGUUGAGACUAAGGUUCGGAAAGUGGUUGGAAUUGGUGUUCGAAAAGUGGUUGGAGUUCUUGGGGUUUUAAGGAUGGUUGAGACUAAGGUUUGGAAAGGGGUUGGAAUUGGUGCUCGAUUUUACGUAAAACAUAUUAAUAAACGUUCUUAAACAUACAUAAACUAGGUAUAGGAUAAUGUUAUAUAGAACAUAUAAAUUGAUCGAUAAAUAAUCAAUAUGCCAACCUACGACCAGUUUAACACUGGUAGCCGUUCGUCUUCUGAAUCUGUUCGUACCCAGCCAGCGGUAUUCUGAUUCACAAUAGCGGGGCUGUUUUGAACUGCAUCCAAAACGUCAAUCUCAUUUCAUGAUCUUUUUUAAUGACUCGUAAUGUUCCAUCACUUGCUCGUAGUAAGUUAACUUAACACAGCUUACAAUAUUUAUCGUCAACAACUAGUAAAAUUUACAAACAAUCACCUCUGUGAACAAUAUCUUUCAACUUAAACUAUUUUUCACUCUUAUUUUACCGAAUUGAUCUUUUGUUCACGUAAUCUAUUACAUGCUUGACCGCGCAACAUUUUUAACACAAUUGAUUGACAUAAGAGCUUGCGUUGCCUACAAGCACGCACAUUUUUAAAAAAUGCGACUAUUAAGAUGAGUGACGACUUACAAGUGUUUAUCCAGAUAUUAGUUCUGAGAGGUUGAUAAAUAUUUUCACCUUGAUCAUGAUAAGAGAUGUGUACUUCGAAUUGACUUAAGCUUCGCAAUAAAGGACUGACAGAGAUUGGUUUUUCGACGUACAACAGACUCCCAAGUUCGAAUGUUAUAAUGCAUGAUCGUAAGACAUCCUUAGUGCACGUUUCUGGGUGUUUUCAAUGAGAUCGGACAAGUUAACCGGCAGAUUCGACCAAGCGGGUGCGGCGUAUUCAACAGAUGAUCUCAUAAACGAACAAUACACUACCACCAAGCAUUUCGACAAUUCGUGGACAAUGCACGCACUACUAUUCUACACAAAUUAUUGAAGGAUAAGUUUCGUAAAAUAAGUGAAUAUGCAAUUUCUUCCGGAUACCGUGUGAAUGAAAUUCGUAAAACUUGUAUGCACCUUCCUGCAACUCAUUACGAUGAGCUCUCAAAUAAUCGUCACUUAAUCAUGGGAGUAAAAUUUUAGUACGAGAAAAGAUGUUCGGUGUAACACUUCACCACCUUAAAUUUGAAAACUGUUUUCUCAACCUUACGUUUCGUGAAAGAUUUCACUAUGCAUGUGCUCACAGUGUCAAUGUUCGAAAUUACGAUUUUGCCACUGAGGAGUGAAGUCCGCUAUAAACUGCUACGGUAAACCCGUGUGUAUUUUUGAUGUAAGAAUAUGCUUUUUUUUCGUGUAAUGAGGUAGACGAAACUCCAAUUCGCUUACAGACCCGUCUGGUCAAGGAUACAAAGAAGUUGAUUUUCUCUUCACCUGAAGGAAAUUGAAUGUAAAAGUUGCCAAAAUAAUGUUUAACAUGUGCAUUUUACGAAACCACUAUAGGCAUAUCACACCUGGGACUGGGAAUGUAUAUUCGUAUUGGUAGGCGUGAAAAGUUCUGCUAGUGAAAAUACCCUCUCGGACAUCUAUUGUUCCAGAAUCCCAUAAGGCUUGGUUCUCUAAUAUGGCUAUUCAUCGGCGACGUACUUUGUCGAGGUUAUUAAAUGCUUUUAUAAAAUGAUUUGUCUAUCGUAAAAAUUAUUCACUUCAUUGGUCAGUGACAAUGGCUCCUAGAACAUCGUCGAUGAAUUACGACAUAUGAAAACCAAACUUACAUAAAGUUAGGAACUUUUCGUCUCUAAACGGAACUUUUUGUCGAAAAAAAAUUUACUCUUCUUAGUUUGUAAUAAUGAAUAAUACCUUAAAAAGUAUUUGAAUUGCCGCGCAAUGUCCUUGAAGCCCAAUAGUGCUCAAAAUAUUUAUUUUAGAAAAUUGAAAUAUAUAUGAUAUUUAUAUAUAAUAUAUUUUCAUGUAAGUCAUUA
This is a long non-coding RNA of Dendronephthya gigantea, 5602 nucleotides long. RefSeq lists it as uncharacterized. NCBI's taxonomy places the organism in Eukaryota, Metazoa, Cnidaria, Anthozoa, Malacalcyonacea, Nephtheidae. The transcript has 2 exons. The record is from RefSeq and is a predicted model, not a curated record.